CCAAUAGCGUAUAUUAAAGUUGUUGCAGUUAAAAAGCUCGUAGUUGAAUUUCGGGGUUAGUAGGUUGGUCAUGCCUCUGGUAUGUACUGGUCUCACUGAUUCCUCCUUCCUUAUGAACCGUAAUGCCAUUAAUUUGGUGUUGCGGGAAAUUUGGACUGUUACUUUGAAAAAAUUAGAGUGUUUAAAGCAAGCUAACGCUUGAAUACAUUAGCAUGGAAUAAUGAAAUAGGACGUUCGAUCUUAUUUUGUUGGUUUCUAGGAUUGACGUAAUGAUUAAUAGGGAUAGUUGGAGGCAUUAGUAUUCAAUUGUCGGAGGUGAAAUUCUUGGAUUUAUUGAAGACUAACUACUGCGAAAGCAUUUGCCAAGGAUGUUUUCAUUAAUCAAGAACGAAAGUUAGGGGAUCGAAGACGAUCAGAUACCGUCGUAGUCUUAACCAUAAACUAUGCCGACUAGGGAUCGGAUGAUGUUAAUUUUUUAAUGACUCAUUCGGCGCCUUACG
Molecule: ribosomal RNA, 500 nt
Filed under: uncultured Glomeromycotina
Lineage: Eukaryota; Fungi; Glomeromycota
Description: partial small subunit ribosomal RNA
Rfam family: Eukaryotic small subunit ribosomal RNA
Source: RNAcentral